CCCUUAGAUGCUCUGGGCCGCACGCGCGCUACACUGGUCGAUGCAACGAGUUUCUUUCCUUGGCUGACAGGCCUGGGCAAUCUUUGAACAUCGAUCGUGAUCGGGAUAGAUUCUUGUAAUUUUUGAUCUUAAACGAGGAAUUCCUAGUAAACGCAAGUCAUCAGCUUGCAUUGAUUACGUCCCUGCCCUUUGUACACACCGCCCGUCGCACCUACCGAUUGAAUGGUCCGGUGAAAUCUCCGGACUGGCGUGAGUCGGAGCAAUCUGACAAACACCGGAAAGUUGAUUAAACCUUACCAUUUAGAGGAAGGUGAAGUCGUAACA
This 324-nucleotide ribosomal RNA is filed under the name uncultured eukaryote. Its description in RNAcentral is "partial 18S ribosomal RNA". It matches the Rfam family "Eukaryotic small subunit ribosomal RNA", at positions 1470 to 1796 of the family's 1831-position model. The record is from RNAcentral.